This 460-nucleotide ribosomal RNA is filed under the name uncultured bacterium. RNAcentral's name for it is "partial 16S ribosomal RNA". It matches the Rfam family "Bacterial small subunit ribosomal RNA", at positions 338 to 795 of the family's 1533-position model. The record is from RNAcentral.
CCUACGGGUGGCAGCAGUGAGGAAUAUUGGUCAAUGGGCGAGAGCCUGAACCAGCCAAGUCGCGUGAAGGAUGACGGCCCUACGGGUUGUAAACUUCUUUUGUCAGGGAGCAAUUGAGUCCACGUGUGGUCUUAGCGAGAGUACCUGAAGAAAAAGCAUCGGCUAACUCCGUGCCAGAAGCCGCGGUAAUACGGGGGAUGCGAGCGUUAUCAGGAUUUAUGGGGUUUAAAGGGUGCGUAGGCGGAAUAUCAAGUUAGCGGUAAAAAUUCGGGGCUCAACCCCGUCGUGCCGUUGAAACUGAUGUUCUUGAGUGGGCGAGAGGUAUGCGGAAUGCGUGGUGUAGCGGUGAAAUGCAUAGAUAUCACGCAGAACUCCGAUUGCGAAGGCAGCAUACCGGCGCCCAACUGACGCUGAGGCACGAAAGCGUGGGUAUCGAACAGGAUUAGAUACCCUUGUAGUC